AAGUGGGCGAACGGGUGAGUAACACGUGAAUAACCUACCUCAAAGUCUGGGAUAACCAUUGGAAACAGUGACUAAUACCGGAUAAAACCCAGGUGCACAUGCACCAAGGUUAAAAGCUGCGUUUGCAGCGCUUUAAGAUGGAUUCGCGGUGCAUUAGUUAGUUGGUGAGGUAAAGGCUCACCAAGACGAUGAUGCAUAGCCGAGUUGAGAGACUGACCGGCCACAUUGGGACUGAGACACGGCCCAAACUCCUACGGGAGGCUGCAGUAGGGAAUCUUCCACAAUGGGCGCAAGCCUGAUGGAGCAACGCCGCGUGUGUGAUGAAGGCUUUCGGGUCGUAAAGCACUGUUGUAUGGGAAGAACGGGUUUAAGAGGAAAUGCUUAAGCAGUGACGGUACCAUACCAGAAAGGGACGGCUAAAUACGUGCCAGCAGCCGCGGUAAUACGUAUGUCCCGAGCGUUAUCCGGAUUUAUUGGGCGUAAAGCGAGCGCAGACGGUUCGAUAAGUCUGAAGUGAAAGCCCACAGCUCAACUGUGGAAUGGCUUUGGAAACUGUCGAACUUGAGUGCAGUAGAGGUAAGUGGAACUCCAUGUGUAGCGGUGGAAUGCGUA
Molecule: ribosomal RNA, 612 nt
Filed under: Fructobacillus sp. H05_89_27F_1072926_033
Lineage: Bacteria; Bacillati; Bacillota; Bacilli; Lactobacillales; Lactobacillaceae
Description: bacterial SSU rRNA
Rfam family: Bacterial small subunit ribosomal RNA
Source: RNAcentral